UGAUUCACAAGUGUAUGGCUCUGUACAAUUCGGCCUCGCGUUAUUUUUUCCAGAAUUGGGUGUGGGUAGUCUCUAAACUGAAUUGAGUAAGCUAAACAUGUGCAUCUAAACUGAUUGAACUUGAAGAUUGCCUUUGGGGAGUAGUUUUAGUUGCUAGAUGUUUCAGGCUCCAAACAGGCAUACAUUAUGUGCUUAAUGUGUUGGCAUAAACAUAAUCAGUUUUAUGUUUAGAAAUCAAGUCACUGUCCACCCAUUUUAUUUUUUCAUGAAUAUUUUGUGUUGAAAUCAAAUUACCGUUCGCUUGUUCUGAAUUGUUGUCUUUUUUUGUUGAUUCUUGAUAAAAUGCUUAGUUUGAGGAUGUGGCCAUUGGCUCGCGGGGACGAAAGCAGAAACCGAUAUGGCGAUGGUGCCAAGGAGGACUCUCAGGCGUCCGCUGGUUGCAUCGCUGCUGCCAUACCCAUGGAGUGGCGCGGCUCCGACCAAUCUAAGAUGGUAUUCCUAUCUCUUUCUUUCUUGAGGAAUCGGUACUACAAUAGAACCUGAAGCCGAUGAGGAUGGACGACAUUUAGUUUUGGUGGAGACAUCAGGUACAACACAUGUCAAUGAUAAUUCUGCCCCACAACCAAACAAAAAAAAUAUGAUGAUGAUGCUCAUUGGUGCUAGGCCUCCAGAAGUGGGUUUAAUUUUUGUGGCAGCAUGGCUCUGCUUGGUUCAGUUUUUCUUGGUCUACUUCGAAACGGCGGGGGCGGCUGGAGCUUGCAGAACGGCGGCGGCAAAGGCUAGAGCUUCCAGAUCGGCAACCCAACCUGAGCAACAGCUCCAAGGAGGAUGCCACCAAGUGCUUGGUCUCGCUGGGAGAUGAGAGAUGUCGAGAAGUUGGGAGGCGGUGUUGCUGGCAGUGCCACGUCGCACCUCCGUGUCACCGGCAUGGCUACUGCAGGUAAUAUCACAAACAUUGUGUGAUAACAUCAAUAUGAAUCUCUCAAGGUAGGAAGAAAGAGAGGAACAUGAUGAAAGUUGUAUUGCCGGUUUUAGCAGGCGUGCUGGUCCUCACAUGCUUACCCAUUGUUGGAUAUUGCUUGAAUAAAAAAACAACCAGUGUAA
Molecule: long non-coding RNA, 1104 nt
Organism: Hordeum vulgare subsp. vulgare (domesticated barley)
Lineage: Eukaryota; Viridiplantae; Streptophyta; Magnoliopsida; Poales; Poaceae
Exons: 4
Source: RefSeq, a predicted model, not a curated record